RNAcentral lists this non-coding RNA (941 nucleotides) under Macaca fascicularis aureus. RNAcentral's name for it is "12S ribosomal RNA". It matches the Rfam family "Bacterial small subunit ribosomal RNA". Lineage: Eukaryota; Metazoa; Chordata; Mammalia; Primates; Cercopithecidae. The record is from RNAcentral.
AAUAGGCUUGGUCCUGGCCUUUCUAUUAGCUCUUAGCAAGAUUACACAUGCAAGCAUCCCCACCCCGGUGAAGACGCCCUAUUAAUCAUCAUGAUCAAGAGGAGCAAGUAUCAAGCACGCACACGCAGCUCAAAACGCUUUGCCUAGCCACACCCCCACGGGAGACAGCAGUGACAAAUAUUUAGCAAUAAACGAAAGUUCAACUAAGCCAUGCUAUAUUUAGGGUUGGUCAAUUUCGUGCCAGCUACCGCGGUCACACGAUUAACCCUAGCUAAUAGAGACCGGCGUAGAGGGUGUUUAAGAUCUGACAUAAUAAAGCUAAACUCCAUCUAAACUGUAAAACCCUAGCUAAUGUAAAAUAAACUACGAAAGUGGCUUUAAAACUUCUGAACACACAAUAGCCAAGACCCAAACUGGGAUUAGACACCCCACUAUGCUUGGCCCUAAACCUCAGUAGUUAGAUAACAAAACUACUCGCCAGAAUACUACAAGCAACAGCUUAAAACUCAAAGGACUUGACGGUGCUUUACACCCCCUAGAGGAGCCUGUUUCGUAAUCGAUAAACCCCGAUCCACCCCACCCUCUCUUGCUCAGCCUAUAUACCGCCAUCUUCAGCAAACCCUGAUAAAGGUCACAAAGUGAGCGCAAACGCCACCACCGCGAAGACGUUAGGUCAAGGUGUAGCCCAUGAGACGGUAAAAAUGGGCUACAUUUUCUAUCUCAGAAAACUCUACGAAAACCCUUAUGAAAUCUAAGAGUCCAAGGAGGAUUUAGCAGUAAAUUAAGAAUAGAGUGCUUAAUUGAACCAGGCCAUAAAGCGCGCACACACCGCCCGUCACUCCUCUCAAAUAUAUUUAAGGAAUAUCUUAACUAAACGCCCAAAUAUUUAUAUAGAGAGGAUAAGUCGUAACAUGGUAAGCGUACUGGAAGGUGCGCUUGGA